This 562-nucleotide unclassified non-coding RNA is filed under the name Alternaria alternata. Its description in RNAcentral is "sequence contains 18S rRNA gene, ITS1, 5.8S rRNA gene, ITS2 and 28S rRNA gene". The stretch from base 179 to 332 matches the Rfam family "5.8S ribosomal RNA". Lineage: Eukaryota; Fungi; Ascomycota; Dothideomycetes; Pleosporales; Pleosporaceae. The record is from RNAcentral.
GGAGGGAUCAUUACACAAAUAUGAAGGCGGGCUGGAACCUCUCGGGGUUACAGCCUUGCUGAAUUAUUCACCCUUGUCUUUUGCGUACUUCUUGUUUCCUUGGUGGGUUCGCCCACCACUAGGACAAACAUAAACCUUUUGUAAUUGCAAUCAGCGUCAGUAACAAAUUAAUAAUUACAACUUUCAACAACGGAUCUCUUGGUUCUGGCAUCGAUGAAGAACGCAGCGAAAUGCGAUAAGUAGUGUGAAUUGCAGAAUUCAGUGAAUCAUCGAAUCUUUGAACGCACAUUGCGCCCUUUGGUAUUCCAAAGGGCAUGCCUGUUCGAGCGUCAUUUGUACCCUCAAGCUUUGCUUGGUGUUGGGCGUCUUGUCUCUAGCUUUGCUGGAGACUCGCCUUAAAGUAAUUGGCAGCCGGCCUACUGGUUUCGGAGCGCAGCACAAGUCGCACUCUCUAUCAGCAAAGGUCUAGCAUCCAUUAAGCCUUUUUUUCAACUUUUGACCUCGGAUCAGGUAGGGAUACCCGCUGAACUUAAGCAUACAAACCGGGGGAAAAAAAAAAUCA